AUUCUACAAGGAACACACUGACACUAAAAAGGAGGAAGGUGACAGGCUGUGCCACCCCCUGGAUUUGUGAUAAGUAAGAAGGAUUAGUGCCUGUGGUCCUGAACUUCGUACUCCUGCAAAUCAACUCAGUCACAUUUGUUGCUGUCCAGGGUCCUGACCUUAGGAGGUUGGCUCAGGCAAUCUUGCUUUCCACCACCCCGUCUGGGCUGCUGUCGCCACAUCUCAGCGAUGGAGAUGGCUAUGGAUCAGGACAGCAGGCGAUUUCUGCAAGACAAUAAUCUAUUGCUACAGCAUGUGGAAUGAAGAAAAUAAACUGUCAAAAGCCUGUGAAUUAUUUACCUAAUGGAUUGAAUAAUUGAAUUAUUAA
Long non-coding RNA from Podarcis raffonei (Aeolian wall lizard), 367 nucleotides. RefSeq lists it as uncharacterized. The transcript has 2 exons. NCBI's taxonomy places the organism in Eukaryota, Metazoa, Chordata, Lepidosauria, Squamata, Lacertidae. The record is from RefSeq and is a predicted model, not a curated record.